UGGGGAAUUUUGGACAAUGGGCGAAAGCCUGAUCCAGCAAUGCCGCGUGUGUGAAGAAGGCCUUCGGGUUGUAAAGCACUUUUGUCCGGAAAGAAAUCCUUGGCUCUAAUACAGUCGGGGGAUGACGGUACCGGAAGAAUAAGCACCGGCUAACUACGUGCCAGCAGCCGCGGUAAUACGUAGGGUGCAAGCGUUAAUCGGAAUUACUGGGCGUAAAGCGUGCGCAGGCGGUUUGCUAAGACCGAUGUGAAAUCCCCGGGCUCAACCUGGGAACUGCAUUGGUGACUGGCAGGCUAGAGUAUGGCAGAGGGGGGUAGAAUUCCACGUGUAGCAGUGAAAUGCGUAGAGAUGUGGAGGAAUNCCGAUGGCGAAGGCAGCCCCCUGGGCCAAUACUGACGCUCAUGCACGAAAGCGUGGGGAGCAAACNGGAUUAGAUACCCUGGUAGUCCACG
RNAcentral lists this ribosomal RNA (452 nucleotides) under uncultured bacterium. Its description in RNAcentral is "partial 16S ribosomal RNA". It matches the Rfam family "Bacterial small subunit ribosomal RNA", at positions 355 to 799 of the family's 1533-position model. The record is from RNAcentral.